Molecule: ribosomal RNA, 492 nt
Filed under: uncultured bacterium
Lineage: Bacteria
Description: partial 16S ribosomal RNA
Rfam family: Bacterial small subunit ribosomal RNA
Source: RNAcentral
AGUGAACGCUGGCGGUAGGCCUAACACAUGCAAGUCGAACGGCAGCACAGUAAGAGCUUGCUCUUACGGGUGGCGAGUGGCGGACGGGUGAGGAAUACAUCGGAAUCUACUUUUUCGUGGGGGAUAACGUAGGGAAACUUACGCUAAUACCGCAUACGACCUACGGGUGAAAGCAGGGGAUCUUCGGACCUUGCGCGAUUGGAUGAGCCGAUGUCGGAUUAGCUAGUUGGCGGGGUAAAGGCCCACCAAGGCGACGAUCCGUAGCUGGUCUGAGAGGAUGGUCGGCCACACUGGAACUGAGACACGGUCCAGACUCCUACGGGAGGCAGCGGUGGGGAAUAUUGGACAAUGGGCGCAAGCCUGAUCCAGCCAUACCGCGUGGGUGAAGAAGGCCUUCGGGUUGUAAAGCCGUUUUGUUGGGAAAGAAAAGCAGCAGGUUAAUACCCCGCUGUUCUGACGGUACCCAAAGAAUAAGCACCGGCUAACUUCGUG